RNAcentral lists this ribosomal RNA (946 nucleotides) under uncultured organism. RNAcentral describes it as "bacterial SSU rRNA". It matches the Rfam family "Bacterial small subunit ribosomal RNA", at positions 107 to 1070 of the family's 1533-position model. The record is from RNAcentral.
UGAGUAACACGUUGGUGACCUGCCCCGAGAUGAGGAAUAACUCUGGGAAACCAGAGCUAAUACCUCGGAUGUCUAGACUGUUAGAGGGUUUAGACUAAAGCUCCGGCGUCUCGGGAGGGGCCUGCGGGCUAUCAGCUAGUUGGUGGGGUAAUGGCCUACCAAGGCUAAGACGGCUAGGGGACGUGAGAGCGUGAUCCCCCACAAUGGAACUGAGACACGGUCCAUACUCCUACGGGAGGCAGCAGUGAGGAAUAUUGCGCAAUGGGGGCAACCCUGACGCAGCAACGUCGCGUGGAUGAUGACGGCCUUCGGGUUGUAAAAUCCUUUUCUGAGGGACGAUAAUGACGGUACCUCAGGAAUAAGUCCCGGCUAACUACGUGCCAGCAGCCGCGGUAAAACGUAGGGGGCAAGCGUUAUCCGGAUUUACUGGGCGUAAAGCGCGCGUAGGCGGCAUUGUAAGUUGGAUGUGAAAGCUCCCGGCUCAACUGGGAGAGGUCGUUCAAAACUGCGGUGCUCGAGGUUGACAGAGGAGAGUGGAAGUCCCGGUGUAGUGGUGGAAUGCGUAGAUAUCGGGAGGAACACCAGUGGCGAAAGCGGCUCUCUGGGCCACACCUGACGCUGAGGUGCGAAAGCGUGGGUAGCGAACGGGAUUAGAUACCCCGGUAGUCCACGCCGUAAACGAUGGAUACUAGGUGUAGGAGGUUAUUCAACCCUUCUGUGCCGAAGCAAACGCGUUAAGUAUCCCGCCUGGGGACUACGGCCGCAAGGUUAAAACUCAAAGGAAUUGACGGGGGCCCGCACAAGCAGCGGAGCGUGUGGUUUAAUUCGAUGAUACGCGAAGAACCUUACCUGGGCUGAACUACGUGGUAGUAGUGAAGCGAAAGCGGAUCGACCCUUCGGGGAGCCUCGAUAGGUGCUGCAUGGCUGUCGUCAGCUCGUGUCGUGA